This is a non-coding RNA of Pongo abelii (Sumatran orangutan), 73 nucleotides long. The record is from Rfam. Lineage: Eukaryota; Metazoa; Chordata; Mammalia; Primates; Hominidae.
GCCAAAAUAGCUCAGCUGGGAGAGUGUUAGACUGAAGAUCUAAAGGCCUCUGGUUUGAUCCUGGGUUUCGGAA